RNAcentral lists this long non-coding RNA (763 nucleotides) under Solanum tuberosum (potato). Its description in RNAcentral is "long non-coding RNA (STUB_LNC010535)". Lineage: Eukaryota; Viridiplantae; Streptophyta; Magnoliopsida; Solanales; Solanaceae. The record is from RNAcentral.
GGACCGGAAAGGAGGGGGACAAUAUCCACUUGGUAUAUGUUGCAUCCAACUGCUUAUACUUUUCACACAUAGUUUUUACACAAUAUGCUUCAGUUUUAAAAUCACAAUUCUGAUGUGAUUUCAUUCUCUUUGUAUGUGACACACGCAUUGAGACUCAUUCGGUCAUCUUUGAAUUUCGAGUUGGUUGAAACCCAACUGAUAUUCAUCGAGUCAGCCUCAUCUUAUUCGAGUGAAAGGGAAGCAAGUAUGCAAGAAAUGGAGUUGAUAUACAACCGACAUACCUGUUAUAUAGGUGUAAAAUGGGCUAUAUAUCGAAUAUACAGGUGUAAUGGGCCAAAAGCCCAAAGUACAGCAGCUGAGACCCAAAACCUUAAUCCAGACGGCCCAAAACCUCAGUACAGCCCAAAGAUACCAAUUUUCUUUUUUACGUUGAUUUACUUCACCUAAUAAUUUUAAUCAAAUGCUUUUAACUUAACUAAUCAAUAUGGCUAUGUUAUCUUAUUUUCAAAUUUUUUUCAAGGGAUACAAAUGCUUUUUCUUCACUUUAAAAUAACUUUUUUUAAUAGUUGAUCAAUAUUUUCAGCCAAUAAUUUAACCAUAUUGGUUAGACUGUGUGAAAAGCAUUUGAUUAAAAUUAAAGUUUUAGUUAAGUGUCAACAACUUAUUAAAAUUUAAGUCGACUUGUUGAAAAGUAUUUUUCUAAAAUUAUUUUUUGCUUAAAAUAUUUCAGGUGGGCACGUCGCCAAGUGGAAGGGAAGGACCG